ACAGUGCUCCUUCCAUCCGGAAAUACUUGUCACAUGAAUGGAUGUAUCUAGAUGUAUUUUAGUUCUAUAUACAUUCAUUUUUAUACAUUUAUGCGACAAGUAAUUCCGGACGGAAGGAGUAGUAU
Molecule: microRNA precursor, 125 nt
Filed under: Hordeum vulgare
Lineage: Eukaryota; Viridiplantae; Streptophyta; Magnoliopsida; Poales; Poaceae
Description: microRNA MIR1122
Rfam family: MIR1120/MIR1122 microRNA precursor family
Source: RNAcentral